RNAcentral lists this ribosomal RNA (459 nucleotides) under uncultured bacterium. RNAcentral describes it as "partial 16S ribosomal RNA". It matches the Rfam family "Bacterial small subunit ribosomal RNA", at positions 338 to 795 of the family's 1533-position model. The record is from RNAcentral.
CCUACGGGAGGCAGCAGUGAGGAAUAUUGGUCAAUGGUCGGGAGACUGAACCAGCCAAGCCGCGUGAGGGAUGAAGGUACAGAGUAUCGUAAACCUCUUUUGUCAGGGAACAAAGGCGGGGACGUGUCCCCGGAUGAGUGUACCUGAAGAAAAAGCAUCGGCUAACUCCGUGCCAGCAGCCGCGGUAAUACGGAGGAUGCGAGCGUUAUCCGGAUUUAUUGGGUUUAAAGGGUGCGCAGGCGGUCUGUUAAGUCAGCGGUCAAAGCCCGGGGCUCAACCCCGGCCCGCCGUUGAAACUGUCGGACUAGAGACGGCGAGAGGUACGCGGAAUGCGCGGUGUAGCGGUGAAAUGCAUAGAUAUCGCGCAGAACUCCGAUUGCGAAGGCAGCGUACCGGCGCCGGACUGACGCUGAGGCACGAAAGCGUGGGUAUCGAACAGGAUUAGAUACCCGAGUAGUC